This 336-nucleotide long non-coding RNA is filed under the name Ursus maritimus (polar bear). Its description in RNAcentral is "lncRNA (ENSUMAG00000007372.1)". The record is from RNAcentral. Lineage: Eukaryota; Metazoa; Chordata; Mammalia; Carnivora; Ursidae.
CAAUAAACCAGAGACACCUGCACCGCAUUGGGCUGAGGCAGAAGAAGUUGCGAUGGAAACAGUGGUUGUGCUAAGAGCCAACCUCAAUCAGCUGCGAGUGACGAGAGCAAGGACCACGGCGCCGGAGUCCCACAGGGAAGCUGUGACGCUCAAAGCAGGGGACUGAUGCGUUCCAGGGACGGCCCGUUUGCAGAGGCGGAGCGGUUCGAGGAGAAGCCCCAGGAGCAGCAAGGGCAGGAAGCCGUGAUCACCCCACGUGGGAGGGGCAGAGACAAGAGAAACCAAGAACAGGUGUAUAAUGGAGAACUCUGUUAAUGUGACUGGAUUCGAAUGGCA